Molecule: ribosomal RNA, 115 nt
Organism: Danio rerio (zebrafish)
Lineage: Eukaryota; Metazoa; Chordata; Actinopteri; Cypriniformes; Danionidae
Source: Ensembl
AUCGGCAGCUGGCUGUCUGCAAUUCUCACAUGGUCGCCCACUGAAGCUAAGCAGGGCUGAGCCUGGUCAGUACCUGGAUGGGAGACCACAUGAGAAAGCCAGAUUGCUGCCGGAA